RNAcentral lists this ribosomal RNA (254 nucleotides) under uncultured bacterium. RNAcentral's name for it is "partial 16S ribosomal RNA". It matches the Rfam family "Bacterial small subunit ribosomal RNA", at positions 524 to 776 of the family's 1533-position model. The record is from RNAcentral.
UACGGGGGGAGCAAGCGUUGUUCGGAUUUACUGGGCGUAAAGGGCGCGUAGGCGGUCAGCACAAGUCAGUUGUGAAAUCUCCGGGCUUAACCCGGAAAGGUCAACUGAUACUGUGCGGCUAGAGUGCGGAAGGGGCAACUGGAAUUCUUGGUGUAGCGGUGAAAUGCGUAGAUAUCAAGAGGAACACCUGCGGCGAAGGCGGGUUGCUGGGCCGACACUGACGCUGAGGCGCGAAAGCCAGGGGAGCGAACGGG